Long non-coding RNA from Oncorhynchus kisutch (coho salmon), 637 nucleotides. RefSeq lists it as uncharacterized. The transcript is spliced from 2 exons. The record is from RefSeq and is a predicted model, not a curated record. Lineage: Eukaryota; Metazoa; Chordata; Actinopteri; Salmoniformes; Salmonidae.
GAGACUCUUACGAACCCCAUGUUGUUCUCCGUUUUUCUCUACAACCCCCACAAGUGUCUUGGGACUCGUCUGAAGUCGGUACAGCCUCUUUUGCCAACUUCUGUCUGCAGUAUCCAAACACUUUGGGCUACACAUGAAUAUGUUAGCUUAGUAGAACCCCGCCUCCCCCGGCUUAGACAGGGCUUACACUCUAAUGGGUUAAACCGACUCUGUGAACUACCCCCACUAUGGUACAUGCCGUCCAUUAUGCCCAUGGUGCCGGUGCUAUGGCUAGCCUACUCCCAGGUCAGAGAGAACCUGGUGAAGCCAUCCCACCCAAGAUCAUCUGCCUCCUGGCCUGUGGAAGACUGGACUGCCGCUACGAAGGAUCAGCCUGCUGGAUGCCCAGCCAACAAACUGUACAGGGACUCUACUCACACUGGCUGAACAUCAAGUCCAUCAUCAACAUGCUUUCACCUGGGGAGCAUGCUCACUGUGGCCCACCUCUGCAGCCAGACACUGGAUUCACCUACUUCCUACAAACCUUUAUGGAAAAUGAUAGUACGACUGUACUGUAUUGAUACCUAUCUCUAAUAUACAUAACAUUAGGAUAGUCUCUGAGGCCUUAUGUAAAUUAAAUUGUCUAUUUUUCUCUGUG